AUGCUUGUCUCAAAAGACUAAGCCAUGCAUGUCUAAGUAUAAACACCUUUAUACUGCGAAACUGCGAACGGCUCAUUAUAUCAGUUAUAAUCUACUUGAUCGUAUCCUCUUACUUGGAUAACCGUAGUAAUUCUAGAGCUAAUACAUGCAAAAGAUCCCGACUGGUGACGGAAGGGAUGUAUUUAUUAGGUACAAAAUCAAUGCUGGCUUCACGGCCAGUUGAAUUGAUGAUUCAUAAUAACUAAACGAAGCGCAGGCCUCGCGUCGGCGCUGAUACAAACGAGUUUCUGCCCUAUCAACUUUCGAUGGUAGUAUAGGGGACUACCAUGGUCGUAACGGGUAACGGGGAAUUAGGGUUCUAUUCCGGAGAGGGAGCCUGAGAAAUGGCUACCACUUCCAAGGAAGGCAGCGAGGCGCGCAAAUUACCCAAUCCUGAUUCGGGGAGGUAGUGACAA
RNAcentral lists this ribosomal RNA (455 nucleotides) under uncultured eukaryote. RNAcentral describes it as "bacterial SSU rRNA". It matches the Rfam family "Eukaryotic small subunit ribosomal RNA", at positions 28 to 473 of the family's 1831-position model. The record is from RNAcentral.